This 369-nucleotide ribosomal RNA is filed under the name Escherichia coli. RNAcentral's name for it is "bacterial SSU rRNA". It matches the Rfam family "Bacterial small subunit ribosomal RNA", at positions 1 to 366 of the family's 1533-position model. Lineage: Bacteria; Pseudomonadati; Pseudomonadota; Gammaproteobacteria; Enterobacterales; Enterobacteriaceae. The record is from RNAcentral.
AAAUUGAAGAGUUUGAUCAUGGCUCAGAUUGAACGCUGGCGGCAGGCCUAACACAUGCAAGUCGAACGGUAACAGGAAGAAGCUUGCUUCUUUGCUGACGAGUGGCGGACGGGUGAGUAAUGUCUGGGAAACUGCCUGAUGGAGGGGGAUAACUACUGGAAACGGUAGCUAAUACCGCAUAACGUCGCAAGACCAAAGAGGGGGACCUUCGGGCCUCUUGCCAUCGGAUGUGCCCAGAUGGGAUUAGCUAGUAGGUGGGGUAACGGCUCACCUAGGCGACGAUCCCUAGCUGGUCUGAGAGGAUGACCAGCCACACUGGAACUGAGACACGGUCCAGACUCCUACGGGAGGCAGCAGUGGGGAAUAUUG